This is a long non-coding RNA of Lathyrus oleraceus (garden pea), 2681 nucleotides long. RefSeq lists it as uncharacterized. NCBI's taxonomy places the organism in Eukaryota, Viridiplantae, Streptophyta, Magnoliopsida, Fabales, Fabaceae. The transcript has 11 exons. The record is from RefSeq and is a predicted model, not a curated record.
CACUCUCGUUUUUCCUUUCCACAUUCUCUCACUCUCUCGUUCCUUCACUCCACCGUUCCAGAUCUUUCACUCCCCUCACUCCACCCGUUCCAGAUCUUUCACUCUUUCAUUCCAGUGAUUAAAGGCUUUGGACCAGUUCUCUCACUCUACAAGUGAUUAGAGUUUGUGUUUUUUUGCUUAUAUUGUUGUUGUUUCGACGAAUCUGUUUGUUCUCUCUAACUCUCUAACUUAAAAACUUGAUUUGUGCAUAAUAUUUGAUUACUUUGGGUUGAUCUUUGGAAACUGGAAUGUGACUUUUGCUACCCCUGCAUGAACCGUGAUUUUUGGAACUUAGUCCCUUCCUUAGCUUGGUCAUAAUGACAUUGGUCGACUUAGCCCAUGGCAAGCCUAGACAUGUUCCCUACAGAGAUUCAAGACUUACAUUUCUUCUCUAGGAUUCUCUAGGUGGGAACUCAAAAACAAUGAUCAUUGCAAAUGUCAGCCCAUCCAUUUGCUCUGCUAACGAAACACUAAGCACUCUGAAAUUUGCCCAGCGAGCCAAGCUCAUUCAAAACAAUGCAGAAGUGAAUGAAGAUGCUUUUGGUGACAUAAGUGCACUGCAGUGGCAAAUCCAACAGCUGAAGGCAUUGGAAUAAGAGUUUCAAAAUUAUUGAUGUUUUCACAAUUCAUACUAAAUCAUAGGAAUGACUUAUAUAUACUGAACUGGAGCAGGGUCAACUAUCCUUUCUGACAAAGAAUAAAGUUUUUCCACCACUGGUAUCAAAUUUGGAGCCAAAUUCUGAUAGUUGCAGGUUGAGCGAAGCAUCAGAAGAACACGAUUCUAUGGGAGAAAGAACGACGGCAGAUGGCAAGCUGCAUACUCCAAACAAAGAGAUUAAACGCAUGAAAGCUGCUUUGGUUGGAGCCUUGAGGAGAGAAAAAAUGCCCGAGACUACAAUCCAGAAUUUAAACAUUGAAAUUGAUCGCAUGAAAUGCUUGGUAUGCAUUGUUUUGGCUGAACAAUAGGUUGGUCAUGUGAGUAAGUUACAAUAUUUUCAAUAUCAUGAGCUGGUAAUAGUUGUAUCACAUUCUCUGUAGGCUCAACAAAAGGAAGAAGAUGCUCAACAUACUUCAAUUAUGUUGAAAAUAAUAAUAAUAAUAAUAACAAUGAUGAUCCGGGCAUUCUUAUUCUGCAAGUUCGUCUUCACUCCUUGCAUUUGUUUGUUUUCUGUCUUUCCUUUUUUUCAUCUUAAAAUGCUGUUUAUAUCUACCUUCUACAUGUUGCAGCUUCUAAUUGACAACAUCAGCAGGCCAGCAGCUCCAAAUAUCACUCACUACUUAAAUUUGAUCUAGACACAAAUCAAAUACAUGGUUUUAGUGCUGAUUCCACAUUAGUGCCACCACAAUUUGCCUGCCAAAUUUAUGUCUAAAGAAUUAAUUUGUUAGUUAUUACCCUAUGCACAAUUGCAAUUAUUGAUAAAUUUAAGCAGGUUGUUUCAAAGAUUAUAAGCCUGCUUAAUUCUCUUUUCUCGUAUAGUUUUCUUUGGUAUAAACAUGCACCAAAGAUUAACACAUUCAGACCAGUCUAUUGUGUUGGCAUAAAAGAACUGGCAUAUUGAACGUAAACUUUACGGAUACUGCUGUCAUUCUGGAAUCUUAGAUGAUUACAACAUGUUUUGUUUUUCAUCAUGUGCAUGAGUACUCUGAACAUUCUAUGAGUUACAUGUUCUGGCUUAUCUUUUUGGGGUAUUUCUCCAUUACAGGUUUGGCUCGAAUUGGAUCAAGACUGUCCGAGACUGAAGUGAAGCAACUUAUGGAAGCUGUAAGUCGUUACAAAUCCGUUACAAAAGCAUAACUAGUUGAACGCAUGACUAUUAUCUUAAACUCAACAAGAAUUGUCUUACUUGUGAGUGGAAAUAUGUUGCUUUCUAAUGGAGAAGACCAGACUCAGCUGCUGCCUUCAGAAACUGAAACUCAGGUUUCAAACUCUGAUUUAGUUGAAGGGUUAUUACCGGUUUCAAAAGUUUACACUGAUGUGGCUGUUGUUCCUAAGCAACAAAACAACGAGAUUCAACACUUGAUAUCCAAUUUACAAAGAGAGGUUGAGGAACUGAGGCUGAAGCAGAGAGUAGUGGAUGGAAAGAGGAGACAAGCAUUGAGUAAGAUAUUGGAUAUCAAAGGGAGCAUUAACUGUUUUGUAGGAUUCGACCGAAUCUUUCGAAAGAGAAGAGAAGAAAUUAUGAACCUGUAUCAGCUGAAUCAAAGAGAGUUCGAGUUAAGUUUGGUGGGACAAGGAAAGAGUAUGCGUUUGAUAAGGUUUUUCAUCAAGAUACAACUCAAGAAAGUGUUUUUGUUGAAGUGGAGCCAAUUCUAAGAUCUGCAAUGGACGGGCACAAUGUGUGCAUUUUCGCUUAUGGUCAAACCGGCACAGGCAAGACAUUCACCAUGGAUGGCACAAAUGAGCAGUUAUGGAUUAUUCCUCGAGCUAUUGAAGAACUCUUUCGUCAAGCGUCAAUGGAUGCUUCGUCCUCUUUUACUUUUUCAAUGAGACAUCUGAAUGAACCAAUCAUGUGCAGAUGUAAUAUGGACAGUCAACUGUUUGAUAUACUUUCAAAAGUUCUCUUGUUUCUCAUGUAUUUUGAGUUUUUGUAUAUGAUACAGUGGUUGUAAUUUAUUAAUUUCUUUUUAAGGUCUGUGUGGAA